GCUAGUCUAGGAGUAUUGGGCCUAAGCAUCCGUAGCCGGCUACGCAAGUCUCCGGUUAAAUCCAUCUGCUUAACAGAUGGGCUGCCGGAGAUACUACAUAGCUAGGGAGCGGGAGAGGUAGACGGUAUUCGGUGGGUAGGGGUAAAAUCCUCUGAUCCAUUGAGGACCACCAGUGGCGAAGGCGGUCUACCAGAACGCGUUCGACGGUGAGGGAUGAAAGCUGGGGGAGCAAACCGGAUUAGAUACCCGGGUAGUCCCAGCUGUAAACGAUGCAGACUCGGUGAUGCACUGGCUUUUGGCCAGUGCAGCGCCGCAGGGAAGCCGUUAAGUUUGCCGCCUGGGAAGUACGUACGCAAGUAUGAAACUUAAAGGAAUUGGCGGGGGAGCAC
RNAcentral lists this ribosomal RNA (389 nucleotides) under uncultured archaeon. RNAcentral's name for it is "bacterial SSU rRNA". It matches the Rfam family "Archaeal small subunit ribosomal RNA", at positions 489 to 879 of the family's 1478-position model. The record is from RNAcentral.